CAGGCCAUAGGAUAGUGGUAGUCCGCGGGCAUGGGGUGCCUGUAGCGGUGGUUCGAUUCCACCUGGCCUGA
This 71-nucleotide transfer RNA is filed under the name bacterium. Its description in RNAcentral is "tRNA-Pro". It matches the Rfam family "tRNA". From Rfam's summary of the family: Transfer RNA (tRNA) molecules are approximately 80 nucleotides in length. The record is from RNAcentral.